This 1479-nucleotide ribosomal RNA is filed under the name uncultured organism. RNAcentral's name for it is "bacterial SSU rRNA". It matches the Rfam family "Bacterial small subunit ribosomal RNA". The record is from RNAcentral.
AGAGUUUGAUCCUGGCUCAGAACGAACGCUAGCGGCGCGUUUCAGGCAUGCAAGUCGAACGGUACCAGGGAUGUUUUACCAUCUGCUGACGAGUGGCGCACGGGUGAGUAACGCGUAGGUAACCUGCCUUAAGGUCUGGGAUAGCCAUACGAAAGUAUGAUUAAUACUGGAUAUGCUCUUAUGAGUAAAGAUUCAUCGCCUUAAGAUGGGCCUGCGUUAGAUUAGCUUGUUGGUAGGGUAAUGGCCUACCAAGGCGACGAUCUAUAGCCGGGUUGAGAGACUGGCCGGCCACAUUGGGACUGAGACACGGCCCAGACUCCUACGGGAGGCAGCAGCUAAGAAUCUUCCGCAAUGGACGCAAGUCUGACGGAGCGACGCCGCGUGAACGAUGAAGGCCUUACAGGUUGUAAAGUUCUUUUAUAGUAGACGAAAACUAAGCGUAGGCUUAGUUGACGGUAUUCUAUGAAUAAGGUCCGGCUAACUACGUGCCAGCAGCCGCGGUAAUACGUAGGGACCGAGCGUUGUUCGGAAUUAUUGGGCGUAAAGGGUACGUAGGCGGUCUAAUAAGUCAGAUGUGAAAACCCUGGGCUCAGCCUGAGGCCUGCGUCUGAUACUGUUAGGCUAGAGUUACGGAGAGGAAGUCGGAAUUCCUGGUGUAGGGGUGAAAUCUAUAGAUAUCAGGAAGAACACCGGUAGCGAAGGCGGACUUCUGGACGUAAACUGACGCUGAUGUACGAAAGUUAGGGUAGCAAACAGGAUUAGAGACCCUGGUAGUCCUAAUCGUAAACGUUGUAUACUAGGUGGUGGCGUUUUGAUCGCGUCACUGCCGUAGCUAACGCAUUAAGUAUACCGCCUGGGGAGUAUGCCGGCAACGGUGAAACUCAAAGGAAUUGACGGGGGCCCGCACAAGCAGUGGAGCAUGUUGUUUAAUUCGAUGAUACGCGAGGAACCUUACCAGGUCUUGACAUAUACCCGGAUGUUCCAGAGAUGGAUCAGUCUUUCGGGACGGGUAUACAGGUGCUGCAUGGUUGUCGUCAGCUCGUGCCGUGAGGUGUUGGGUUAAGUCCCGCAACGAGCGCAACCCUUAUUCUUUGUUGCUAACGCGUUAUGGCGAGCACUCUAAGGAGACUGCCGGUGACAAACCGGAGGAAGGUGGGGAUGACGUCAAAUCAUCACGGCCCUUAUGACCUGGGCUACAAACGUGCUACAAUGGGCGGUACAAAGAGUUGCGAGUCUGUGAAGAGGAGCUAAUCUCAAAAAACCGUCCUCAGUUCGGAUUGGAGUCUGAAACCCGACUCCAUGAAGUUGGAAUUGCUAGUAAUCGCAUAUCAGCCAUGAUGCGGUGAAUAUGUUCCCGGGCCUUGUACACACCGCCCGUCACAUCACCCGAAUUGACUAUACCCGAUGUGGCUGAGCCAACCCUUCGGGGAGGCAGGUCCCUAAGGUAUGGUUGGUGAGGGGGAUGAAGUCGUAACAAGG